AGAGUUUGAUCAUGGCUCAGGACGAACGCUGGCGGCGUGCUUAACACAUGCAAGUCGAACGAGAUCCAAUCAGUAGCAAUACUGAUGAAGAUCUAGUGGCGAACGGGUGCGUAACACGUGAGGAACUUGUCCCGGUCUCUGGGAUAACAGUUGGAAACGACUGCUAAUACCGGAUGACGUCGGAACUUCGCAUGGAGUACUGACGAAAGGGCUACUGGAUCGGGAGAGCCUCGCGGCCUAUCAGCUUGUUGGUGGGGUAAUGGCCUACCAAGGCAUCGACGGGUAGCUGGUCUGAGAGGAUGAUCAGCCACACUGGGACUGAGACACGGCCCAGACUCCUACGGGAGGCAGCAGUGGGGAAUCUUGCACAAUGGGCGAAAGCCUGAUGCAGCAACGCCGCGUGCGGGAAGAAGGCCCUCGGGUUGUAAACCGCUUUCAGAAGGAACGAAACUGACGGUACUUUCAGAAGAAGGUGCGGCCAACUACGUGCCAGCAGCCGCGGUGACACGUAGGCACCAAGCGUUGUCCGGAUUUAUUGGGCGUAAAGAGCUCGUAGGCGGUUCAGUAAGUCGGGUGUGAAAACUUUGGGCUUAACCCAAAGCGUGCAUCCGAUACUGCUGUGACUUGAGUACGGUAGGGGAGCGGGGAAUUCCUAGUGUAGCGGUGAAAUGCGCAGAUAUUAGGAGGAACACCGGUGGCGAAGGNNCCGCUCUGGGCCGAAACUGACGCUGAGGAGCGAAAGCAUGGGCAGCAAACAGGAUUAGAUACCCUAGUAGUCC
Molecule: ribosomal RNA, 779 nt
Filed under: uncultured bacterium
Lineage: Bacteria
Description: bacterial SSU rRNA
Rfam family: Bacterial small subunit ribosomal RNA
Source: RNAcentral